This 486-nucleotide ribosomal RNA is filed under the name uncultured bacterium. RNAcentral describes it as "partial 16S ribosomal RNA". It matches the Rfam family "Bacterial small subunit ribosomal RNA", at positions 30 to 507 of the family's 1533-position model. The record is from RNAcentral.
AUUGAACGCUGGCGGCAUGCCUUACACAUGCAAGUCGAACGGCAGCACGGGUGCUUGCACCUGGUGGCGAGUGGCGCACGGGUGAGUAAUACAUCGGAACAUGUCCUGUAGUGGGGGAUAGCCCGGCGAAAGCCGGAUUAAUACCGCAUACGAUCUACGGAUGAAAGAGGGGGACCUUCGGGCCUCGCGCUAUAGGGUUGGCCGAUGGCUGAUUAGCUAGUUGGUGGGGUAAAGGCCUACCAAGGCGACGAUCAGUAGCUGGUCUGAGAGGACGACCAGCCACACUGGGACUGAGACACGGCCCAGACUCCUACGGGAGGCAGCAGUGGGGAAUUUUGGACAAUGUGCGAAAGCCUGAUCCAGCAAUGCCGCGUGUGUGAAGAAGGCCUUCGGGUUGUAAAGCACUUUUGUCCGGAAAGAAAUCCUUGGCCCUAAUACGGUCGGGGGAUGACGGUACCGGAAGAAUAAGCACCGGCUAACUACGUG